AGCGAAAGCGUGGGGAGCGAACAGGAUUAGAUACCCUGGUAGUUCCACGCCGUAAACGAUGAGUGCUAAGUGUUAGGGGGUUUCCGCCCCCUUAGUGCUGCAGCUAACGCAUUAAGCACUCCGCCUGGGGAGUACGGUCGCAAGACUGAAACUCAAAGGAAUUGACGGGGGCCCGCACAAGCGGUGGAGCAUGUGGUUUUAUUCGAAGCAACGCGAAGAACCUUACCAGGUCUUGACAUCCUCUGACAACCCUAGAGAUAGGGCUUUUCCUUCGGGGACAGAGUGACAGGUGGUGCAUGGUUGUCGUCAGCUCGUGUCGUGAGAUGUUGGGUUAAGUCCCGCAACGAGCGCAACCCUUGAUCUUAGUUGCCAGCAUUCAGUUGGGCACUCUAAGGUGACUGCCGGUGACAAACCGGAGGAAGGUGGGGAUGACGUCAAAUCAUCAUGCCCCUUAUGACCUGGGCUACACACGUGCUACAAUGGACAGAACAAAGGGCUGCAAGACCGCAAGGUUUAGCCAAUCCCAUAAAUCUGUUCUCAGUUCGGAUCGCAGUCUGCAACUCGACUGCGUGAAGCUGGAAUCGCUAGUAAUCGCGGAUCAGCAUGCCGCGGUGAAUACGUUCCCGGGCCUUGUACACACCGCCCGUCACACCACGAGAGUUUGCUACACCCGAAGUCGGUUGAGUAAGCUCCAUCA
Molecule: ribosomal RNA, 697 nt
Filed under: Bacillus safensis
Lineage: Bacteria; Bacillati; Bacillota; Bacilli; Caryophanales; Bacillaceae
Description: bacterial SSU rRNA
Rfam family: Bacterial small subunit ribosomal RNA
Source: RNAcentral